CGGGGUGAGUAAUGUCUGGGAAACUGCCUGAUGGAGGGGGAUAACUGCUGGGAACGGUAGCUAAUACCGCAUAACGUCGCAAGACCAAAGAGGGGGACCUUCGGGCCUCUUGCCAUCGGAUGUGCCCAGAUGGGAUUAGCUAGUAGGUGGGGUAACGGCUCACCUAGGCGACGAUCCCUAGCUGGUCUGAGAGGAUGGCCAGCCACACUGGAACUGAGACACGGUCCAG
RNAcentral lists this ribosomal RNA (229 nucleotides) under uncultured bacterium. Its description in RNAcentral is "partial 16S ribosomal RNA". It matches the Rfam family "Bacterial small subunit ribosomal RNA", at positions 104 to 334 of the family's 1533-position model. The record is from RNAcentral.